Psammomys obesus (fat sand rat) is the source of this 952-nucleotide long non-coding RNA. RefSeq lists it as uncharacterized. NCBI's taxonomy places the organism in Eukaryota, Metazoa, Chordata, Mammalia, Rodentia, Muridae. The record is from RefSeq and is a predicted model, not a curated record. The transcript is spliced from 3 exons.
AAGCUACACCCUGCAAAGUCGCUUUGUAAAAUCUGUGCUCUGGGUUGACAGCUGAUGUUCUCCAAGCUGGGCUUCGCCUGACAGAUAGGUUAAGAGAAGACUCAGACUCCCAGCCUGACAUCCAGAGGUCUUCAAAGCUCCGAGGUGGGCCCGACGGUAGCCUUGGGAGAACGGGGCUCCCUAUUGCAGAUCUGCUCUGUUCAGCACAAGAGGCCCUCCACACGAGCCAGCCCCCAGCUACACUCUCAGAGCUGCCUUCAGAAGUGGCCUGAAGGAGAGAGCCCUGCUCAGCAAGUCAGUGAUGAGUGGAAGGGGCCCGACGGGGACGGGCCUGAGGAGUGGAGUGCAACCAGAGAAGGAGAGGUGUGCCUUCGCCAUGCCAAACAGAAGGCAGGAGCUGGCUGUCUACACCAAACAUCCUGAGAGCUGCCCCGGACAGGACGAGAAGGACAGGUCGGUCUUGGGUGAAAGCAGAGAGACCCAACAUUGAGGCUGAAGGACUAGAGGACUCUGGGCCUCAGUCUGCUCAUCUGUAGAACAAGGAGGUUGGGCUAGAUGGGCUCUCUCCUCCAAGUGCCGUGUAACCGUCUCAAGAGUGUCCAAGGCUGCCGUCCAACUCAGGAUACCUGAAGCUGAGUGCUCCUGGAAGAGGGACAGAGGUGCAGCUCCACAGUCCUGUGCAGUCUGGUUGGGAAGAACACUCUGCCCCCAAAUUCACUGACCAAGCUGUGCGCACUCGAGCAGAUUCUCCAUUUCCCUGACUUUCCAGCAGCCCCCAGGCCCUCUAGUCCUGAGACACGCCUACUCGUCCCCUUUCUUUGACCUACUCUCCAGGUUGUUUCCAUGUAUUGCAGAACCCCGAGAUCUCACCCCUUUUUGGAAAGAAUCUGUGUCGUGACAUUUUUGAGAAUUCUGGAAUUUUGAUUUCUUUAGAAAAAACAAAAAAACAAAA